UACGGGGGGAGCAAGCGUUGUUCGGAUUUACUGGGCGUAAAGGGCGCGUAGGCGGCCACCGCAAGUCAGUUGUGAAAUCUCUGGGCUUAACCCAGAAAGGUCAACUGAUACUGCUCGGCUUGAGUCUCGGAGAGGAUGGUGGAAUUCCCAGUGUAGAGGUGAAAUUCGUAGAUAUUGGGAGGAACACCGGUGGCGAAGGCGACCAUCUGGACGAAGACUGACACUGAGGCGCGAAAGCGUGGGGAGCAAACAGG
This 254-nucleotide ribosomal RNA is filed under the name uncultured bacterium. RNAcentral describes it as "partial 16S ribosomal RNA". It matches the Rfam family "Bacterial small subunit ribosomal RNA", at positions 524 to 776 of the family's 1533-position model. The record is from RNAcentral.